This 60-nucleotide non-coding RNA is filed under the name Streptantibioticus cattleyicolor NRRL 8057 = DSM 46488. RNAcentral describes it as "Streptomyces cattleya NRRL 8057 Streptomyces RNA 2736". It matches the Rfam family "Streptomyces RNA 2736". Rfam says of the family: Identified by deep sequencing of transcriptome at the end of exponential growth phase. The record is from Rfam by way of RNAcentral. Lineage: Bacteria; Bacillati; Actinomycetota; Actinomycetes; Kitasatosporales; Streptomycetaceae.
CGCCCGGUACGGACCCGUGGGGGGAUCCGCUUCCGGGGCACGGGGGCGCCCCGCUCCGGA